RNAcentral lists this unclassified non-coding RNA (401 nucleotides) under soil metagenome. RNAcentral describes it as "partial contains 5.8S ribosomal RNA, internal transcribed spacer 2, and large subunit ribosomal RNA". The stretch from base 1 to 121 matches the Rfam family "5.8S ribosomal RNA", at positions 35 to 154 of the family's 154-position model. The record is from RNAcentral.
GAUGAAGAACGCAGCGAAAUGCGAUAAGUAAUGUGAAUUGCAGAAUUCAGUGAAUCAUCGAAUCUUUGAACGCACCUUGCGCCCUUUGGCUAUUCUGAAGGGCAUGCCUGUUUGAGUAUCAUGAACACCUCAACUCUCAUGGUUUGCCAUGAUGAGCUUGGACUUUGGGGGUCUUGCUGGCCUACGGUCGGCUCCUCUCAAAUGAAUCUGCUUGCCAGUGUUUGGUGGCAUCACGGGUGUGAUAACUAUCUACGCUUGUGGUUUCCCGCCAGGUAACCUUCAGUGAUGGAGGUUCGCUGGGGCUCAUAAAUGUCCCUCCACAGUGAGGACAGCUUUUGAACGUUUGAUCUCAAAUCAGGUAGGACUACCCGCUGAACUUAAGCAUAUCAAUAAGCGGAGGA